Molecule: long non-coding RNA, 450 nt
Filed under: Nicotiana benthamiana
Lineage: Eukaryota; Viridiplantae; Streptophyta; Magnoliopsida; Solanales; Solanaceae
Description: long non-coding RNA (NBEN_LNC002251)
Source: RNAcentral
UUCCUUUUAAUGUUUCACACAUGUGUAUUUAUGAUUUUAUUACUUGCCGGGUCUUAGUUUCGUUUUCUAAAAACGUUUUGGGUUGGUUGGCGAAGCUUCUUCAAAGAAUUCUAUUGGUUAUGCAGCAAUGAGAUCAGUCGUGUGAAUGUGGUUGACGAUCCGGAGUACAAAAAGGGGGGGUUUUGCAGUAAGAUUUCGAGAAUUUUGGCAGUUGAUUGUGCAAGGUUACGUCAAUAAGAGAUAAAAAAAUCUUGGUGAAUCCCAAAGUUGUGUAAUAGUGGUUUCGAGCUAAGUGGGAGUGGGAGAGUCACACCACCUAUGAUUGGGUUGCAUGGUUAACUACUUGCGAGGUUUCUGGUUAUCAGCAUAUUGAUUGGUUAUUUUAGCUUCGGAAAAAGAAUAUAAGUGGUAACUUGAGUAAGGGAUUGUUCAUAUGGUUGGCCUUUUUGA